UCCUGCCCGGUGCUGGAAGGUUAAGGGGACCUGUUAGCUUCGGCGAAGCGGAGAACUUAAGCCCCAGUAAACGGCGGUGGUAACUAUAACCAUCCUAAGGUAGCGAAAUUCCUUGUCGGGUAAGUUCCGACCUGCACGAAUGGAGUAACGACUUCCCCGCUGUCUCAACCGUGAACUCGGCGAAAUUGCAUUACGAGUAAAGAUGCUCGUUACGCGCAGAAGGACGGAAAGACCCCGUGACCUUUACUAUAGUUUGGUAUUGGUGUUCGGUGUGGCUUGUGUAGGAUAGGUGGGAGACUGUGAAGCGGGCACGCCAGUGUUCGUGGAGUCAUCGUUGAAAUACCACUCUGGUCACUCUGGAUAUCUAACUUCGGCCCGUGAUCCGGGUCAGGGACAGUGCCUGAUGGGUAGUUUAACUGGGGCGGUUGCCUCCCAAAAUGUAACGGAGGCGCCCAAAGGUUCCCUCAGCCUGGUUGGCAAUCAGGUGUCGAGUGCAAGUGCACAAGGGAGCUUGACUGUGAGAGUGGCAGCUCGAGCAGGGACGAAAGUCGGGACUAGUGAUCCGGCGGCUCGUUGUGGAACGGCCGUCGCUCAACGGAUAAAAGGUACCUCGGGGAUAACAGGCUGAUCUUGCCCAAGAGUCCAUAUCGACGGCAUGGUUUGGCACCUCGAUGUCGGCUCGUCGCAUCCUG
RNAcentral lists this ribosomal RNA (692 nucleotides) under Listeria monocytogenes. RNAcentral's name for it is "partial 23S ribosomal RNA". It matches the Rfam family "Bacterial large subunit ribosomal RNA", at positions 1857 to 2549 of the family's 2925-position model. Lineage: Bacteria; Bacillati; Bacillota; Bacilli; Caryophanales; Listeriaceae. The record is from RNAcentral.